GCUAACAUGGUGGCAGCAUGUGCGGUAAUACGGAGGGGGGUGUCGGUGUACGGAAUGAAUGGGCGUAAAGGGCGCGGAUGCGGCACUGUUAGUCAGCUGUGAAAGUCAUAGGCUCAACCUUGGGAGUGCGGUGGAUACUGGAGGGCUAGAGUACGGAAGAGGGGAGUGGAACUGCUGGUGUAGCGGUGGAAUGCGCAGAUAUCAGGAAGAACACCAACGGCGAAGGCAGCUCGCUGGGACGUUACUGACGCUGAGGCGCGAAAGCGUGGGGAGCGAACAGGAUUAGAUACCCCAGUAGUC
RNAcentral lists this ribosomal RNA (300 nucleotides) under uncultured Blautia sp. RNAcentral describes it as "bacterial SSU rRNA". It matches the Rfam family "Bacterial small subunit ribosomal RNA", at positions 496 to 795 of the family's 1533-position model. The record is from RNAcentral. Lineage: Bacteria; Bacillati; Bacillota; Clostridia; Lachnospirales; Lachnospiraceae.